CGCUGUCUCUUGCUGGCUGAUUUUAAUUCUCUCCCCUACCGGGAGCUGCAGAGGAUCUGGAGGUGGCUGGACCC
Molecule: microRNA precursor, 74 nt
Filed under: Mesocricetus auratus (golden hamster)
Lineage: Eukaryota; Metazoa; Chordata; Mammalia; Rodentia; Cricetidae
Description: miRNA (ENSMAUG00000005181.1)
Source: RNAcentral